GAAUUUUGGACAAUGGGCGAAAGCCUGAUCCAGCAAUGCCGCGUGAGUGAUGAAGGCCUUAGGGUUGUAAAGCUCUUUUACUGGGGAUGAUAAUGACAGUACCCAGAGAAUAAGCUCCGGCUAACCUCUUGCAGCAGCCGCGGUAAUACGGAGGGCGCUAGCGUUGUUCGGAAUUACUGGGCGUAAAGCGCGCGUAGGCGGCUUUUUAAGUCAGAGGUGAAAUCCCAGGGCUCAACCCUGGAACUGCCUUUGAAACUGGAUGGCUAGAAUACUGGAGAGGUGAGUGGAAUUCCGAGUGUAGAGGUGAAAUUCGUAGAUAUUCGGAAGAACACCAGUGGCGAAGGCGACUCACUGGACAGUUAUUGACGCUGAGGUGCGAAAGCGUGGGGAGCAAACAGG
RNAcentral lists this ribosomal RNA (399 nucleotides) under uncultured bacterium. Its description in RNAcentral is "bacterial SSU rRNA". It matches the Rfam family "Bacterial small subunit ribosomal RNA", at positions 359 to 776 of the family's 1533-position model. The record is from RNAcentral.